CACAGCCCAGUGCAGCCCGGGCUCUCAUUCACAGCUUUCUAGAGAAAUCUGAGAUCCAACUGCCAGGGUAGGGGAUAUCACCCACCCAGUUCAGCCGCGAGGACACCUGCAGAAACACAUUCUCAAAGCAAGCCUGGGCGGCGGUGUGAAGUAAGCAAUGGCUUCGGUUUUCCUUCUCUUUUGGAUGGCCACCACCACAUAGGGCCUGAAUGUCCUGCUGUUUUCCAAGGACAGAAAGAAGACUCUGUACCUGUCUGUUUGGAGAGCAGUCUUGUAGGAGAGCCAUCGAAUGGGCCGCGGAUUCAGCACAUUUCCAUGUGAAUGGGACCAGUUUCUGUCUUCCCAAACCUCAGAGCAUAACCACUUGGAAGGAGAUUUGCCAAGAUGACACAUUUGCAGGCCGGGCUCAGUCCAGACACGAUAGAGAAAGCUCGCCUGGAACU
Molecule: long non-coding RNA, 443 nt
Filed under: Rattus norvegicus (Norway rat)
Lineage: Eukaryota; Metazoa; Chordata; Mammalia; Rodentia; Muridae
Description: long non-coding RNA NONRATT022089
Source: RNAcentral